AUUGAACGCUGGCGGCAGGCCUAACACAUGCAAGUCGAGCGAGCGGCGGACGGGUGAGUAAUGUCUGGGAAACUGCCCGAUAGAGGGGGAUAACUACUGGAAACGGUAGCUAAUACCGCAUACUAUCAGCUGUGCCCAGAUGGGAUUAGCUAGUAGGUGGGGUAAUGGCUCACCUAGGCGACGAUCCCUAGCUGGUCUGAGAGGGUGAUCAGCCACACUGGGACUGAGACACGGCCCAGACUCCUACGGGAGGCAGCAGUGGGGAAUAUUGCACAAUGGGCGCAAGCCUGAUGCAGCCAUGCCGCGUGUAUGAAGAAGGCCUUAGGGUUGUAAAGUACUUUCAGCGGGGAGGCGUUACCCGCAGAAGAAGCACCGGCUAACUCCGUGCCAGCAGCCGCGGUAAUAC
This 406-nucleotide ribosomal RNA is filed under the name uncultured bacterium. RNAcentral describes it as "partial 16S ribosomal RNA". It matches the Rfam family "Bacterial small subunit ribosomal RNA", at positions 30 to 526 of the family's 1533-position model. The record is from RNAcentral.